This 252-nucleotide ribosomal RNA is filed under the name uncultured bacterium. RNAcentral's name for it is "partial 16S ribosomal RNA". It matches the Rfam family "Bacterial small subunit ribosomal RNA", at positions 524 to 776 of the family's 1533-position model. The record is from RNAcentral.
UACAGAGGGUGCGAGCGUUGUCCGGAAUCACUGGGCGUAAAGGGCGCGUAGGUGGCCCGACAAGUCGCUGGUGAAAGCUCGACGCUCAACGUCGAGUCGGCCAGUGAUACUGUUGGGCUGGAGCACUGUAGAGGCUCAUGGAAUUCCGGGUGUAGCGGUGGAAUGCGUAGAGAUCCGGAAGAACACCAGUGGCGAAGGCGAUCACCUGGGGUGUUCUGACGCUGAGGAGCGAAAGCUAGGGGAGCAAACGGG